GUAGUCCACGCCGUAAACGAUGUCUACUAGUCGUUGGGUCCCUUGAGGACUUAGUGACGCAGCUAACGCAAUAAGUAGACCGCCUGGGGAGUACGGCCGCAAGGUUAAAACUCAAAUGAAUUGACGGGGGCCCGCACAAGCGGUGGAGCAUGUGGUUUAAUUCGAUGCAACGCGAAGAACCUUACCUGGUCUUGACAUAUCUAGAAUCCUGCAGAGAUGCGGGAGUGCCUUCGGGAAUUAGAAUACAGGUGCUGCAUGGCUGUCGUCAGCUCGUGUCGUGAGAUGUUGGGUUAAGUCCCGCAACGAGCGCAACCCUUGUCCUUAGUUACCAGCGGGUUAAGCCGGGAACU
Molecule: ribosomal RNA, 350 nt
Filed under: uncultured Psychrobacter sp.
Lineage: Bacteria; Pseudomonadati; Pseudomonadota; Gammaproteobacteria; Moraxellales; Moraxellaceae
Description: bacterial SSU rRNA
Rfam family: Bacterial small subunit ribosomal RNA
Source: RNAcentral